RNAcentral lists this non-coding RNA (30 nucleotides) under Homo sapiens (human). Lineage: Eukaryota; Metazoa; Chordata; Mammalia; Primates; Hominidae. The record is from RNAcentral.
UGCCAAGAGGUGCUGUAAGAAAAGUUGUAA